Molecule: ribosomal RNA, 491 nt
Filed under: uncultured bacterium
Lineage: Bacteria
Description: partial 16S ribosomal RNA
Rfam family: Bacterial small subunit ribosomal RNA
Source: RNAcentral
AGUGAACGCUGGCGGUAGGCCUAACACAUGCAAGUCGAACGGCAGCACAGUAAGAGCUUGCUCUUACGGGUGGCGAGUGGCGGACGGGUGAGGAAUACAUCGGAAUCUACUUUUUCGUGGGGGAUAACGUAGGGAAACUUACGCUAAUACCGCAUACGACCUACGGGUGAAAGCAGGGGAUCUUCGGACCUUGCGCGAUUGAAUGAGCCGAUGUCGGAUUAGCUAGUUGGCGGGGUAAAGGCCCACCAAGGCGACGAUCCGUCGCUGGUCGGAGGGGAGGAUCGGCCCCCAUGGACCGAGGAACCGUCCCCCCCUCCGCCGGGAGGCAGCAGUGGUGAGUAUUGGUCAACGGGCGCAACCCUGCUCAAGCCAUACCGCCGGGUUGAAGAAGGCCUUCGGCUUGUAAAGCCCUUUUUUGGGGAAAGAAAAGCGCAAGGUUAAUACCCGUCUGUUCUGCGGGUCCCUAAAGAAUAGCCCCGGCUAACUUCGUG